GCGUAUGCGAAGGGGUGCCCCGAAGGAGGGCUGAGAACAGACCCUAGGAACCUGAUCUGGUUAGCACCAGCGGAGGGAGAACGGAAAAAGGACGAUG
This 97-nucleotide non-coding RNA is filed under the name Candidatus Aegiribacteria. RNAcentral's name for it is "TPP sequence". It matches the Rfam family "TPP riboswitch aptamer (THI element)". From Rfam's summary of the family: Vitamin B(1) in its active form thiamin pyrophosphate (TPP) is an essential coenzyme that is synthesised by coupling of pyrimidine and thiazole moieties in bacteria. The previously detected thiamin-regulatory element, thi box was extended, resulting in a new, highly conserved RNA secondary structure, the THI element, which is widely distributed in eubacteria and also occurs in some archaea. The record is from RNAcentral. Lineage: Bacteria; Pseudomonadati.